Molecule: unclassified non-coding RNA, 203 nt
Filed under: Hevea brasiliensis (rubber tree)
Lineage: Eukaryota; Viridiplantae; Streptophyta; Magnoliopsida; Malpighiales; Euphorbiaceae
Source: RNAcentral
GGAUCUUUCCAUAUAAAAGUAACAAUAGUUUUGUGCAGAUUGGGUGCUCUUUGUAGAAAGCAAUGCUCUUUUAGCCAGUAUCUUAUUGCAUACAAUCUAGGACUUAUUUCCCAAAUGGGGGUGCCUUCUCCCUCUUUGUUCAACACAACCUUUGCAUUAACCCCCAACCACAACAACACAAAAUAAUGCACCAAUUCAAGUGG